Molecule: ribosomal RNA, 200 nt
Filed under: uncultured bacterium
Lineage: Bacteria
Description: partial 16S ribosomal RNA
Rfam family: Bacterial small subunit ribosomal RNA
Source: RNAcentral
AGAGUUUGAUCCUGGCUCAGGACGAACGCUGGCGGUGUGCCUCACACAUGCAAGUCGAACGGGGUAGCAAUACCUAGUGGCGGACGGGUGAGUAACACGUGGGAAUCUGCCCUAGAGUGGUGAAUAACUGGCCGAAAGGCUAGCUAAUGUGCCAUAUGUCGCAAGAUGAAAGCAGUAAUGCGCUUUAGGAUGAGCCCGCG